RNAcentral lists this ribosomal RNA (497 nucleotides) under uncultured bacterium. Its description in RNAcentral is "partial 16S ribosomal RNA". It matches the Rfam family "Bacterial small subunit ribosomal RNA", at positions 28 to 507 of the family's 1533-position model. The record is from RNAcentral.
GAUGAACGCUGGCGGCGUGCCUAAUACAUGCAAGUCGAGCGAACGGACGAGAAGCUUGCUUCUCUGAUGUUAGCGGCGGACGGGUAAGUAACACGUGGAUAACCUACCUAUAAGACUGGGAUAACUUCGGGAAACCGGAGCUAAUACCGGAUAAUAUUUUGAGCCGCAUGGUUCAAAAGUGAAAGACGGUCUUGCUGUCACUUAUAGAUGGAUCCGCGCUGCAUUAGCUAGUUGGUAAGGUAACGGCUUACCAAGGCAACGAUGCAUAGCCGACCUGAGAGGGUGAUCGGCCACACUGGAACUGAGACACGGUCCAGACUCCUACGGGAGGCAGCAGUAGGGAAUCUUCCGCAAUGGGCGAAAGCCUGACGGAGCAACGCCGCGUGAGUGAUGAAGGUCUUCGGAUCGUAAAACUCUGUUAUUAGGGAAGAACAUAUGUGUAAGUAACUGUGCACAUCUUGACGGUACCUAAUCAGAAAGCCACGGCUAACUACGUG